RNAcentral lists this ribosomal RNA (466 nucleotides) under uncultured bacterium. RNAcentral's name for it is "partial 16S ribosomal RNA". It matches the Rfam family "Bacterial small subunit ribosomal RNA", at positions 331 to 794 of the family's 1533-position model. The record is from RNAcentral.
CCAGACUCCUACGGGAGGCAGCAGUGAGGAAUAUUGGUCAAUGGGCGGAAGCCUGAACCAGCCAAGUCGCGUGAGGGAAUAAGGCCCUACGGGUCGUAAACCUCUUUUGCCGGGGAGCAAGGGCGGGGACGUGUCCCGGCCCGGAGAGUACCCGGAGAAAAAGCAUCGGCUAACUCCGUGCCAGCAGCCGCGGUAAUACGGAGGAUGCGAGCGUUAUCCGGAUUUAUUGGGUUUAAAGGGUGCGUAGGCGGGCUUUUAAGUCAGCGGUAAAAAUUCGGGGCUCAACCCCGUCCGGCCGUUGAAACUGGGGGCCUUGAGUGGGCGAGAAGUGCGCGGAAUGCGUGGUGUAGCGGUGAAAUGCAUAGAUAUCACGCAGAACUCCGAUUGCGAAGGCAGCUUACUAAACUAUAACUGACACUGAAGCACGAAAGCGUGGGGAUCAAACAGGAUUAGAUACCCCGGUACA